CUAAGAAUAUUCCGCAAUGGACGAAAGUCUGACGGAGCGACGCCGCGUGGAUGACGAAGGCCGAAAGGUUGUAAGAUCCUUUUGUCGAGGAAGAAUAAGCCGGGGAGGGAAUGCCCUGGUGAUGACAUGAAUCGAUGAAUAAGCCCCGGCUAACUACGUGCCAGCAGCCGCGGUAACACGUAGGGGGCGAGCGUUGUUCGGAAUUACUGGGCGUAAAGGGCAUGUAGGCGGUUCGAUAAGCCUGGCGUGAAAUGCUGCAGCUUAACUGCAGCACUGCGUUGGGAACUGUCGGACUAGAGUUACGGAGAGGAAGCUGGAAUUCCAGGUGUAGGGGUGAAAUCUGUAGAUAUCUGGAAGAACACCAAAGGCGAAGGCAAGCUUCUGGCCGAUAACUGACGCUGAGGUGCGAAAGUGUGGGGAUCAAACAG
This 428-nucleotide ribosomal RNA is filed under the name uncultured bacterium. Its description in RNAcentral is "bacterial SSU rRNA". It matches the Rfam family "Bacterial small subunit ribosomal RNA", at positions 355 to 775 of the family's 1533-position model. The record is from RNAcentral.